GUCUUCUUCGCCCCCAUUCCAAAACACCUCUCCUCUUCCUCCACCUCCUCGGCUGUCGUCUAUCGUUGGAGCCACUCUUUGUCUUGUUUUGGUAGUAAAGGGAUUGUAAAGAGAGAAAUUUUAUAAUGAGAGAUGGUGGGUUUAAGCAUAGUUUUGGAGGCACAAAAGGGUGGUGUUAACGAGAAAACCCCACAACUGAUCAGCAAAGCCAUUGUGAUGAUCAAUAAACCCUCUCCUUCUUCAAGCUCUUUUUCUUCCCACUCGUCUUUUCCGGC
RNAcentral lists this unclassified non-coding RNA (275 nucleotides) under Hevea brasiliensis (rubber tree). Lineage: Eukaryota; Viridiplantae; Streptophyta; Magnoliopsida; Malpighiales; Euphorbiaceae. The record is from RNAcentral.